UACAGAGGUCUCAAGCGUUGUUCGGAUUCACUGGGCGUAAAGGGUGCGUAGGUGGCGGGGCAAGUCUGACGUGAAAUCUCCGGGCUUAACCCGGAAAUGGCGUUGGAAACUGCCUUGCUAGAGGAUUGGAGGGGAGACUGGAAUACUUGGUGUAGCAGUGAAAUGCGUAGAUAUCAAGUGGAACAUCAGUGGCGAAGGCGAGUCUCUGGACAAUUCCUGACACUGAGGCACGAAAGCUAGGGGAGCAAACGGG
RNAcentral lists this ribosomal RNA (253 nucleotides) under uncultured bacterium. RNAcentral describes it as "partial 16S ribosomal RNA". It matches the Rfam family "Bacterial small subunit ribosomal RNA", at positions 524 to 776 of the family's 1533-position model. The record is from RNAcentral.